AGAUAUGUCAUUAUAAUGCCUCUGCAAUAAUAGAACCGUCUGGAAUAUCUCUCUUUGGUUAGACGGCGUGGACAGCAGAGACAGAUUAAAUCUUUGGAAUUGGCUUUUGACUCUCUUCUUCUACCGAUUAUAUGGGAUUUUCCUCCGUUCCCAUACGAUCUGUCAUCAGUCUUUCAAACAAUC
This is a small nucleolar RNA of 183 nucleotides. It matches the Rfam family "Small nucleolar RNA snR9".